UUAUUAUUUUAUUAUAUUUGUUUAUUGUUUAUUAAUUGUUUAAUAGAAAUAACUUUAUAUAUUUUUGUCUAAGUAUAUUUUGUAGAAUUGAUUCUUUUUAUUAUAGUUGAUUAGUAAUGUAGUUGAAUUAUGAAAUAAUUUUUUAUUUUUCGUUAAGAAGAUUUUGAUUAUUGUACCUUUUGUAUCAGGGUUUAUUAAAAUUAUAUCAAUUAGUUGUUUAUCUCGAUUUGGGUUGAUUUAUAAACAAAUCAUAGUUAAUGUAUCAAAAUUAUUAUGGAUUUGUUUAUAGAAAUGAAAUGUUAAUCGUUUCCUAAUAUAUCUAGUUUCUUAAGAAAAAAUUCAAUUUUUGAAGUUAUUUGUUUAUUUUUAAUUUUUAAAUUUUAAAUAUAAUCUUAUUAAUUCUUUAGGGGAUAAGCUCUGAGGAUUGAAUCUAUAAUUUAACUUAUAAAAAUAUAAAAGUAAGCUUUAGACCAGCUAUCUUGUUGAUUACGUUUUAGUUUAUUAUUUUAGAUUUUAAUUUUAUAGUUAUUUUAGUUAUUUUAUUAAGGUUUUUAAUUUAAUUCUGAAAUUUUAGUAAUAAUGAUAAAAUUAGUAUAUAAUUUUGUUUAUAAUUAUUUUAUUUUUUAAUUUAUUAUAAGGAAUUUGGCAAAUUUGAUUUCCGCCUGUUUAUCAAAAACAUGUCCUUUUGAAUAAAUAAUUUAAGGUCUGGCCUGCUCACUGACUUAGUUUUAAUAGCCGCGGUAUUUUGACCGUGCAAAGGUAGCAUAAUCAUUAGUCCCUUAAUUAGUGGCUGGUAUGAAUGGUUCGACGAGAAAUCAACUGUCUCUUAUUAAAUUUUAAAAGUUAACUUUUAAGUUAAAAGGCUUAAAUUUUUCUUAAGGACGAGAAGACCCUAUAGAGCUUUAUAUUUUAUUUUUAUAUAAUUUUUAGUUUGUUUUUUUAUAUAUAAUUAUAAUAUUUUGUUGGGGUGAUAUGAAAAAUAAUUAAACUUUUCAUUAUGAAAUCAUUUAUUUAUGUUAAGGUAUGAUCCACAAUUUGUGAUUAAAAGAUUAAGUUACCUUAGGGAUAACAGCGUAAUUGUUUUUGAGAGCUCUUAUCAACAAAGCAGAUUGCGACCUCGAUGUUGGAUUAAGAAAAAUUUUGGGUGCAGGAGCCCAAUAAUUAGGUCUGUUCGACCUUUAAAUUCUUACAUGAUCUGAGUUCAGACCGGCGUAAGCCAGGUCGGUUUCUAUCCUAAGUUAAUUAUAUUUACAUUAGUACGAAAGGACCAUGUAAAUGAAGUAUUAUCUUUUAUUUUUGAUUAAGAUUAAUUAUA
This 1315-nucleotide ribosomal RNA is filed under the name Copiocera sp. OR333. RNAcentral's name for it is "16S ribosomal RNA". The stretch from base 875 to 1238 matches the Rfam family "Archaeal large subunit ribosomal RNA", at positions 2150 to 2716 of the family's 2987-position model. The record is from RNAcentral. Lineage: Eukaryota; Metazoa; Arthropoda; Insecta; Orthoptera; Acrididae.